AAGGAUGGGGAGAUAGAAAGGUUGACAACAGGGGCGUCAGAGCUGCAUAAGUCAAAACGGAACUUAAUUGAAUUGUUGGAGCAGAAAGAUUUAGAGAAAAGUGAAAAGAAUGCUACUAUCAAGAGCUACUUAGAUAAAAUUGUCCGCUUGACAGAAAAUUGCGCACAGAAGGAAGCUCGAUUGGGUGAAGCGGAGACAGAGGUGGCACGUGUCCGGGCUACAUGCACUCGUCUUUCUCAGGUUGGAGCUUUGCAAAACUGUUAACCUGGAGUGUCCCUCCCAUCUUUCUGUUCUUGAGUCCUUUAAUGAUGACGAACUUUCUGGCUCUAGCUUCAAAUAUGCUUUAUGUUUAUUUUCUUUUUGUAUUCUUU
This is a non-coding RNA of Carica papaya (papaya), 371 nucleotides long. The record is from RefSeq and is a predicted model, not a curated record. NCBI's taxonomy places the organism in Eukaryota, Viridiplantae, Streptophyta, Magnoliopsida, Brassicales, Caricaceae.